CCGUGAUAAUGUAGCAUAAUCACUCGCCAUUUAAUUGAUGGAUAGUAUGAAUGGUUGAACGAAUAUUUCACUGUCUUAGAAAGAAUUAACAAAAAUUGAAAUAAUAGUUAAGAUGCUAUUUAAAACUGUAAGACGAAAAGACCCUAUAGAGCUUAACUAUAAUCUCUUUAUCUCUAAAAGAAUAAUAUUUCUAUUAUUAAAGAGAUUGGUAGUUUAGUUGGGGCGACUGCCUUCUAAAAUUAACGAAGGUAAGCAAUGUUAAUAGAUAAUUUAUUGUAUAACACAAAAGUUUAACAAUUAUAAUAAUAGGCUAUAAUGACCCGUUUUUACUUAGUAAAAAGAAAAACGAUUAAUUAAUAAAAGCUACCUUAGGGAUAACAGGAUAAUUUUAUUUUAGAGUCCAUAUCGAAAAUAAA
This 416-nucleotide ribosomal RNA is filed under the name Aequorea coerulescens (belt jellyfish). RNAcentral's name for it is "partial 16S ribosomal RNA". It matches the Rfam family "Bacterial large subunit ribosomal RNA", at positions 1946 to 2515 of the family's 2925-position model. The record is from RNAcentral. Lineage: Eukaryota; Metazoa; Cnidaria; Hydrozoa; Leptothecata; Aequoreidae.